CUCGCUCGCUCGCUCGCUCGCUACCGUACGGAGGAGGAAAGGAGAGCGCAGAGAACAACUCGCCGGGUAUUGUACCGAUAGAAGUAGCAGCGCUGCUCGGGCCUUUAAUCCUUUUGGAGUCUACCGAUGCAUGUGUUAUUAGGGUGGGGAGAGGACGCAGUAAUGGGAUAGAGAACUUGACAAAAGUAAUCUACUUCAAAUAGCCUCUCUACCCAAGAAGUUUUGAUGAAAGUAAUGCUAAAACCCUUAGAAGGCAAUGACGUCAAAGUCUGGAUGGAAAUAUGGAGAAUAAGACACCAAUGAUCAAUUCAACAUUUACUAAGAGAUGUGUGUCAUUAGUGGAACUUUGACACUUAAACCCCUGCUUUGACCUUCUUGAAAAUAAUAAUCGACAGUGUUAUGGUCUUAUUAUUGUAAGAUCAGCAAUUUUUUGGUCUAUGCUGUCACAAAAGGUAACUGUCUGGGAUUGUAUUGAUUUUAUGCAGACUAAGUUCAAGGUCCAAUGAUAAGACCCAACCUGAUGACAGGCUGGAGAAGACAGGAGCUCAUCACAACAGGGCAACGUCAAACUACCAGGACAGACUGCAGUACUGAGUGGUCACAGUUCAACUGUCUCCCUGAACUAAUUUUAUUAAGGCCGAUUUUAGGUCACCUCUUCUGAAUAUAAAUUCUUGUGAAAUUCCGGAGGUGAUCUCAACACAAUUUUCAAAUAUACCAUUUCCCCCAUUCAUUAAUUUAACAAACAAUGAGCACCUCCAAAGUCCCCAGCAUGUUAAGACUCUGCAGAUCCAGAACAAGUCGCUGCAUUUAUGGAGCUUACAUUCUAAUGGGCAUUCAUUCUAGCAUGUCCAUCAGACUUUUGUACAAGGCCUGAUAAAACUCAUACUUUCCAAAGCCUCUCCCCUGAAUAGUAUUUAAUAAUAAAGCUCAAAGUUCAAACUGUA
Molecule: long non-coding RNA, 944 nt
Organism: Neofelis nebulosa (Clouded leopard)
Lineage: Eukaryota; Metazoa; Chordata; Mammalia; Carnivora; Felidae
Exons: 3
Source: RefSeq, a predicted model, not a curated record